UGACUGAGCGGCGGACGGGUGAGUAACGCGUGGGCAACCUGCCUUACACAGGGGGAUAACAGUUAGAAAUGACUGCUAAUACCGCAUAAGACCACAGGACUGCAUGGUCCGGUGGUAAAAACUCCGGUGGUGUAAGAUGGGCCCGCGUCUGAUUAGGUAGUUGGCGGGGUAACGGCCCACCAAGCCGACGAUCAGUAGCCGACCUGAGAGGGUGACCGGCCACAUUGGGACUGAGACACGGCCCAGACUCCUACGGAAGGCAGCAG
RNAcentral lists this ribosomal RNA (266 nucleotides) under uncultured bacterium. RNAcentral describes it as "partial 16S ribosomal RNA". It matches the Rfam family "Bacterial small subunit ribosomal RNA", at positions 88 to 354 of the family's 1533-position model. The record is from RNAcentral.